AUUGAACGCUGGCGGCAUGCCUUACACAUGCAAGUCGAACGGUAACAGAUUAUCGGCUGCUGACGAGUGGCGGAGGGGGGAGUAAUACAUAGGAACGCGCCCAGACGUGGGGGAUCAUGAGGGGAAACCUAGGCAAAUACAGCCUACGACCUCAGGAGGAAAACAGGGGAACGCAAGGCAUCUCGCGACUGGAGGGGACGAUGUCAGAUUAGGUAGUUGGAGGGAUAAAGGCGGACCAAGCCGACGAUCUGUAGCUGGUCUGAGAGGAUGACCAGCCACACUGGAACUGAGACACGGCCCAGACUCCUACGGGAGGCAGCAGUGGGGAAUUUUGGACAAUGGGCGAAAGCCUGAUCCAGCCAUGCCGCGUGCAGGAUGAAGGCCUUCGGGUUGUAAACUCCUUUUGUUCGGAACGAAAAGGCGCUGGCUAAUACCUGGGUCACAUGACGGUACCCAAAGAAUAAGCACCGGCUAACUUCGUG
Molecule: ribosomal RNA, 482 nt
Filed under: uncultured bacterium
Lineage: Bacteria
Description: partial 16S ribosomal RNA
Rfam family: Bacterial small subunit ribosomal RNA
Source: RNAcentral